RNAcentral lists this ribosomal RNA (241 nucleotides) under Klebsiella pneumoniae. Its description in RNAcentral is "partial 16S ribosomal RNA". It matches the Rfam family "Bacterial small subunit ribosomal RNA", at positions 343 to 576 of the family's 1533-position model. The record is from RNAcentral. Lineage: Bacteria; Pseudomonadati; Pseudomonadota; Gammaproteobacteria; Enterobacterales; Enterobacteriaceae. RNAcentral also lists the same sequence under 3 other names.
GGGAGGCAGCAGUGGGGAAUAUUGCACAAUGGGCGCAAGCCUGAUGCAGCCAUGCCGCGUGUGUGAAGAAGGCCUUCGGGUUGUAAAGCACUUUCAGCGGGGAGGAAGGCGAUAAGGUUAAUAACCUUGUCGAUUGACGUUACCCGCAGAAGAAGCACCGGCUAACUCCGUGCCAGCAGCCGCGGUAAUACGGAGGGUGCAAGCGUUAAUCGGAAUUACUGGGCGUAAAGCGCACGCAGGC